RNAcentral lists this ribosomal RNA (628 nucleotides) under uncultured bacterium. RNAcentral describes it as "bacterial SSU rRNA". The stretch from base 1 to 530 matches the Rfam family "Bacterial small subunit ribosomal RNA", at positions 338 to 873 of the family's 1533-position model. The record is from RNAcentral.
CCUACGGGAGGCAGCAGUGGGGAAUAUUGCACAAUGGGCGCAAGCCUGAUGCAGCAACGCCGCGUGAGGGACGACGGCCUUCGGGUUGUAAACCUCUUUUAGUAGGGAAGAAGCGAAAGUGACGGUACCUGCAGAAAAAGCACCGGCUAACUACGUGCCAGCAGCCGCGGUAAUACGUAGGGUGCAAGCGUUGUCCGGAAUUAUUGGGCGUAAAGAGCUCGUAGGCGGUUUGUCGCGUCUGCUGUGAAAACCCGAGGCUCAACCUCGGGCCUGCAGUGGGUACGGGCAGACUAGAGUGCGGUAGGGGAGAUUGGAAUUCCUGGUGUAGCGGUGGAAUGCGCAGAUAUCAGGAGGAACACCGAUGGCGAAGGCAGAUCUCUGGGCCGUAACUGACGCUGAGGAGCGAAAGCAUGGGGAGCGAACGGGAUUAGAUACCCUGGUAGUCCAUGACGUAACGUACGGUAACGUAGAGUAGUAGGUACGACUACCUACGUUCGUUGUGUCGUCGNGCUACGACAUACGUUCCCGUCCGUCGGGUAGGUACGGCCGCGACGACGUAAACGUACGUAAGUAGUAAGUUAGUUACGGUCGUUGAGACGUUGCCGACGGACGACGACGAGGGAGGAGG